RNAcentral lists this ribosomal RNA (492 nucleotides) under uncultured bacterium. RNAcentral's name for it is "bacterial SSU rRNA". It matches the Rfam family "Bacterial small subunit ribosomal RNA", at positions 1 to 472 of the family's 1533-position model. The record is from RNAcentral.
CCCUUAGAGUUUGAUCCUGGCUCAGGACGAACGCUGGCGGCGUGCUUAACACAUGCAAGUCGAACGAAGAGCGAUGGAAGCUUGCUUCUAUCAAUCUUAGUGGCGAACGGGUGAGUAACGCGUAAUCAACCUGCCCUUCAGAGGGGGACAACAGUUGGAAACGACUGCUAAUACCGCAUACGAUCCAAUCUCGGCAUCGAGGAUGGAUGAAAGGUGGCCUCUAUUUAUAAGCUAUCACUGAAGGAGGGGAUUGCGUCUGAUUAGCUAGUUGGAGGGGUAACGGCCCACCAAGGCGAUGAUCAGUAGCCGGUCUGAGAGGAUGAACGGCCACAUUGGGACUGAGACACGGCCCAGACUCCUACGGGAGGCAGCAGUGGGGAAUCUUCCGCAAUGGACGAAAGUCUGACGGAGCAACGCCGCGUGAGUGAUGACGGCCUUCGGGUUGAAAGCUCUGUUAAUCGGGACGAAAGGCCUUCUUGCGAAUAGUUAGAA